GAGAAUUUAUUUCGUGAUGUUUGUUAGUACUUUUAAGUUAUCGUAUAAGGGAUGUUAACCUUAACCUUUAUUUUGCUUCCGCACUGAAAUUAUUAUAUGCAUUUCCUUUUGAAUUCCGGGGCCGUUACAUAUGAUGUCAAUUAUGUAUGAAAGCUUACCCUUCCUUACUCUUUUCAUAAGAUGCCUUGAUGAAUUCCUCACAUUUCAAUGCCAU
This 214-nucleotide long non-coding RNA is filed under the name Carica papaya (papaya). Its description in RNAcentral is "long non-coding RNA (CPAP_LNC003183)". Lineage: Eukaryota; Viridiplantae; Streptophyta; Magnoliopsida; Brassicales; Caricaceae. The record is from RNAcentral.